RNAcentral lists this ribosomal RNA (464 nucleotides) under Vreelandella stevensii. Its description in RNAcentral is "partial 16S ribosomal RNA". It matches the Rfam family "Bacterial small subunit ribosomal RNA", at positions 338 to 795 of the family's 1533-position model. Lineage: Bacteria; Pseudomonadati; Pseudomonadota; Gammaproteobacteria; Oceanospirillales; Halomonadaceae. The record is from RNAcentral.
CCUACGGGAGGCUGCAGUGGGGAAUAUUGGACAAUGGGGGAACCCUGAUCCAGCCAUGCCGCGUGUGUGAAGAAGGCCCUCGGGUUGUAAAGCACUUUCAGUGAGGAAGAACGCCUGGUGGUUAAUACCCAUCAGGAAAGACAUCACUCACAGAAGAAGCACCGGCUAACUCCGUGCCAGCAGCCGCGGUAAUACGGAGGGUGCGAGCGUUAAUCGGAAUUACUGGGCGUAAAGCGCGCGUAGGUGGCUUGAUAAGCCGGUUGUGAAAGCCCCGGGCUCAACCUGGGAACGGCAUCCGGAACUGUCAAGCUAGAGUGCAGGAGAGGAAGGUAGAAUUCCCGGUGUAGCGGUGAAAUGCGUAGAGAUCGGGAGGAAUACCAGUGGCGAAGGCGGCCUUCUGGACUGACACUGACACUGAGGUGCGAAAGCGUGGGUAGCAAACAGGAUUAGAUACCCGAGUAGUC